RNAcentral lists this ribosomal RNA (1094 nucleotides) under Cladosporium sp. RNAcentral describes it as "SSU rRNA". It matches the Rfam family "Eukaryotic small subunit ribosomal RNA", at positions 39 to 1144 of the family's 1831-position model. Lineage: Eukaryota; Fungi; Ascomycota; Dothideomycetes; Cladosporiales; Cladosporiaceae. The record is from RNAcentral.
CAAGAUAAGCCAUGCAUUUCUAAGUAUAAGCAACUAUACGGUGAAACUGCGAAUGGCUCAUUAAAUCAGUUAUCGUUUAUUUGAUAGUACCUUACUACAUGGAUAACCGUGGUAAUUCUAGAGCUAAUACAUGCUAAAAACCUCGACUUCGGAAGGGGUGUAUUUAUUAGAUAAAAAACCAAUGCCCUUCGGGGCUCCUUGGUGAAUCAUAAUAACUUAACGAAUCGCAUGGCCUUGCGCCGGCGAUGGUUCAUUCAAAUUUCUGCCCUAUCAACUUUCGAUGGUAGGAUAGUGGCCUACCAUGGUAUCAACGGGUAACGGGGAAUUAGGGUUCGACUCCGGAGAGGGAGCCUGAGAAACGGCUACCACAUCCAAGGAAGGCAGCAGGCGCGCAAAUUACCCAAUCCCGACACGGGGAGGUAGUGACAAUAAAUACUGAUACAGGGCUCUUUUGGGUCUUGUAAUUGGAAUGAGUACAAUUUAAAUCCCUUAACGAGGAACAAUUGGAGGGCAAGUCUGGUGCCAGCAGCCGCGGUAAUUCCAGCUCCAAUAGCGUAUAUUAAAGUUGUUGCAGUUAAAAAGCUCGUAGUUGAACCUUGGGCCUGGCUGGCCGGUCCGCCUCACCGCGUGUACUGGUCCGGCCGGGCCUUUCCUUCUGGGGAACCUCAUGCCCUUCACUGGGCGUGUUGGGGAACCAGGACUUUUACUUUGAAAAAAUUAGAGUGUUCAAAGCAGGCCUUUGCUCGAAUACAUUAGCAUGGAAUAAUAGAAUAGGACGUGUGGUUCUAUUUUGUUGGUUUCUAGGACCGCCGUAAUGAUUAAUAGGGAUAGUCGGGGGCAUCAGUAUUCAAUCGUCAGAGGUGAAAUUCUUGGAUUGAUUGAAGACUAACUACUGCGAAAGCAUUUGCCAAGGAUGUUUUCAUUAAUCAGUGAACGAAAGUUAGGGGAUCGAAGACGAUCAGAUACCGUCGUAGUCUUAACCAUAAACUAUGCCGACUAGGGAUCGGACGGUGUUAGUAUUUUGACCCGUUCGGCACCUUACGAGAAAUCAAAGUUUUUGGGUUCUGGGGGGAGUAUGGUCGCAAGGCUGAACU